CCUACGGGUGGCACCAGUGGGGAAUUGUUCACAAUGGGCGCAAGCCUGAUGACGCAACGCCGCGUGGGGGAUGAAGGUCUUCGGAUUGUAAACCCCUGUCAAAUGGGACGAAAGACUCGGGAGCUAAUCAUCUCGAGAGUGACGGUACCAUUAAAGGAAGCCACGGCUAACUCUGUGCCAGCAGCCGCGGUAAUACAGAGGUGGCAAGCGUUGUUCGGAAUUACUGGGCGUAAAGGGCGCGUAGGCGGCCCACUAAGUCAGACGUGAAAUCCCCCGGCUUAACCUGGGAACUGCGUCUGAUACUGGAGGGCUUGAGUAUGGGAGAGGGAUGUAGAAUUCCAGGUGUAGCGGUGAAAUGCGUAGAUAUCUGGAGGAAUACCGGUGGCGAAGGCGGCAUCCUGGACCAUUACUGACGCUGAUGCGCGAAAGCUAGGGGAGCAAACGGGAUUAGAUACCCGAGUAGUC
RNAcentral lists this ribosomal RNA (465 nucleotides) under uncultured bacterium. RNAcentral describes it as "bacterial SSU rRNA". It matches the Rfam family "Bacterial small subunit ribosomal RNA", at positions 338 to 795 of the family's 1533-position model. The record is from RNAcentral.